This 249-nucleotide ribosomal RNA is filed under the name uncultured Clavibacter sp. RNAcentral's name for it is "partial 16S ribosomal RNA". It matches the Rfam family "Bacterial small subunit ribosomal RNA", at positions 355 to 616 of the family's 1533-position model. The record is from RNAcentral. Lineage: Bacteria; Bacillati; Actinomycetota; Actinomycetes; Micrococcales; Microbacteriaceae.
UGGGGAAUAUUGGGCAAUGGAGGAAACUCUGACCCAGCGACGCCGCGUGCGGGAUGAAGGCCUUCGGGUUGUAAACCGCUUUCAGCAGGGAAGAAGCGAAAGUGACGGUACCUGCAGAAGAAGCCCCGGCUAACUCCGUGCCAGCAGCCGCGGCAAUACGGAGGGGGCUAGCGUUAUUCGGAAUUACUGGGCGUAAAGCGCACGUGGGCGGAUUGGAAAGUUGGAGGUGAAAUCCCAGGGCUCAACCUC